GAUGAACGCUGGCGGCGUGCCUAAUACAUGCAAGUCGAGCGAACAGACGAGGAGCUUGCCCCUCUGACGUUAGCGGCGGAAGGGUGAGUAACACGUGGAUAAAAUACCUAUAUGACUGGGAUAACUUCGGGAAACCGGAGCUAAUACCGGAUAAUAUAUUGAACCGAACGGUUCAAUAGUGAAAGACGAUGGAGCUGUCACUUAUAGAUGGAUCCGCGCCUCAUUCGCUAGUUGGUAAGGUAACGGGUUACGAAGGCGACGAUCAGUAGCCGGACUGAGAGGGUGAACGGCCACAUUGGGACUGAGACACGGCCCCAAGUCCUACGGGAGGCAGCAGUGGGGAAUAUUGCAAAAUGGGGGAAACCCUGAUGCAGCGACGCCGCGUGAGUGAAGAAGUAUUUAGGUAUGUAAAGCUCUAUCAGCAGGGAAGAAAAUGACGGUACCUGAAUAAGAAGCCACGGCUAACUACGUG
RNAcentral lists this ribosomal RNA (472 nucleotides) under uncultured bacterium. Its description in RNAcentral is "partial 16S ribosomal RNA". It matches the Rfam family "Bacterial small subunit ribosomal RNA", at positions 28 to 507 of the family's 1533-position model. The record is from RNAcentral.